CUACCUGCACUUUCCUUCUACUGUCACAAUAUCAAUAUACUCAGCUACAGCUUAGUCUCCCCAUUUAACAGAUAAGGCCACUGAGGCUUAGUGAGUUUCAAUGACCUGCCUGAAGUCAUGGAGCAGGGUGUGACAAAAGUGGGAAAACUGGAAUCAGAAUCACUUCACCCACCCCUAACCUCACCAGAACAGUGUUUUCAAUUCUAGCUACACAUUAAAAUCACUGGAGAGGUUUUAAAAAUACUGAAACCCAGGCUCUGUACACAGUGAUUCCAUUUAACUGGUCUGAGGUGGGGCCUAGGCACUGGUAUGUUUUAAAGGUUUUCUUGGUAUUUUUUUUUUCCAGUUACUUUCUUUAAAAAAUUUUUUUUUAACUUUUCAUUUGAAAUAAUUUCAGACUUCCAAAAAAAGAUGUGAAAUAGUACAAAGCAGUCCUGUGUAUCCUUCCCCCGGUUUUUCCAAAUGUUAACAUCUUACAUAACCACAGCGCAGCUAUCAAAGCCAGGAUAUUAACAUUGAUACAAUACCAUUCACUAAUCCACAGACCUUAUUCAAACGGUAUCAAUGGAGCUUGGUGGAUAGUUCUAAAUCAUUCUGGAGACCUCAUUAUUUUUAGUUAUUCCAUCCCUUUAGUGUACUUGAAUCUUUCCUAGGUGAUCUUAAUGUGCAGCCAGGGCUGAGAACUGCUGGGUGUGGACGGUGGAGCCUGGAGUUAGUAUUCUACGAGUAGACUUAAUUGGCUUUACGGUGCAUUUUUUUCUCCCCGUUCUCUGACAUGUAAGAGCUAUGUCUGAAAAUCUAGUAUAUUUCUAAGCUAUUGUUAUGCUGCUGAUGGGAUGAAUCAUUUGAAGAUUUCUGACUAUUUUUAUGAAGUGACAGUUAUAUCUGCUGGGAGGAGAAAUGAGCCCUAGUUAUAUUCAUAGCAAGGUUACUGCCACCUAGGUGAAAAAUGGAAAAUGGUGUAUUGGGGAGGGAAGAGUUGAAGAGCUUUCAAAUAUGAACUCACAAGUCAGUGGGCUAGGUCUUCGCAGAACUCAAUGCCAUUCUUUGGAUGUGAGUCUGGAAUACAGUUUAGAUUUUAAUUAGAGAUGUGCUGGACCUUAAUGUAAAUGUAUUUAGAUAGGGAAGCCAAAGACACUAAACUGAAAACCUUGCAUUUCCUACAGAUGGUUUAUUAAAUUGAAAUAUGUCUCUUAACCUCUGGUCUUGACCCUGCUGUUGCAAAGAUGAGUCAUUGAAACAUCAGCCUGUCUGUUAUCCUGAAUGACUGGCUGGAGUGGCCCGGCUGGAGGCACCACUUGGUAACACAUGAAACUGGUUAGUUCAUGAGGAUUUUUACUUUUAUUUUCGCCUACAGUCAAACUACCUUUAUCCAAUUAGAAUUUUCACCCUCAUCUAUUUAUUAUCUCCUGCUCUGGGUAAAAACAAACCUGAGUGUCUCUGCCGUGUGCAAAUUAGCCUGGCUCUGAGGGCCGCAGGGCUGAAUAGAAACUAUCCUCGAGUGAAUAAAAAUGUUAUUAAAUUUAAAACCACAGCCCCCAUCACCAGCACUGGAUUCCUUUAUGCCACAGAUGUUGACUGUUUGCAAGUGUUUCCUCUGUGAGGCACUGGCUUGGAAGCAUUUGAACCUAAUAGCAUUAUAUGUGUGUUUAUAUCAGAAAUCAUAUGCACAGAUACAUUGCCAGCCUUCAAAUUCAUAGAGAAAACAAUUGGCUCCCGUGGUGUUAGGUAGCAGCCAGGGCUGUGGCCUUGUGGGUCCCAGCACAGGAGACUCUUUCAUAACCCCCUGGGCUUUGGAACAUGCUGCUGCCUCUGCCAAGUACACCCUUGUCUCCCACCACCCCUCUUUUCCUGGCUCACUGCUGCCACCUCCUCUUGGAAGCCUUCCUUGAUUUCCUCCCCCAACCUGAGUUAGAAGUCUUUUCCAUAUAUUUGCACAAUACUCAGUGCUUCUAUGUGCUGCAGUAAAAGUAAUUGUUUAUUUGUCUGAUUUCUUCACAUGCUAGCACCUAGCCCAGUGCCUGCCACAUAGAAAGUGCCUAUGAUAAUGUGUGUGUGUGAAUAAAUGAAUGAUAAAUGA
Homo sapiens (human) is the source of this 2080-nucleotide long non-coding RNA. The record is from Ensembl. Lineage: Eukaryota; Metazoa; Chordata; Mammalia; Primates; Hominidae.